This 253-nucleotide ribosomal RNA is filed under the name uncultured bacterium. RNAcentral's name for it is "partial 16S ribosomal RNA". It matches the Rfam family "Bacterial small subunit ribosomal RNA", at positions 524 to 776 of the family's 1533-position model. The record is from RNAcentral.
UACGAAGGGGGCUAGCGUUGCUCGGAAUCACUGGGCGUAAAGCGCGCGCAGGCGGCACUGUAAGUAAGGUGUGAAAUAUCCCUGCUCAACGGGGAGGGUGCACUUUAGACUGCAGAGCUAGAGGACGGUAGAGGGGGGUGGAAUUGCUGGUGUAGCGGUGAAAUGCGUAGAGAUCAGCAGGAACACCCGUGGCGAAGGCGGCCCCCUGGGCCGAACCUGACGCUGAGGCGCGAAGGCUAGGGGAGCGAACGGG